RNAcentral lists this transfer RNA (95 nucleotides) under Actinokineospora globicatena. RNAcentral describes it as "tRNA-Ala". The record is from RNAcentral. Lineage: Bacteria; Bacillati; Actinomycetota; Actinomycetes; Pseudonocardiales; Pseudonocardiaceae.
UACGGCGACGGCCUGGUGGCGCGGGUGCGCGCGCUCGCCCCGCGCGGGGUGGACGCGGCGAUCGACGCCGCAGGGAUCGACGCCCUCACCGCGUC